GUGGGGAAUAUUGGACAAUGGGCGAAAGCCUGAUCCAGCCAUGCCGCGUGUGUGAAGAAGGUCUUCGGAUUGUAAAGCACUUUAAGUUGGGAGGAAGGGCAGUAAGUUAAUACCUUGCUGUUUUGACGUUACCGACAGAAUAAGCACCGGCUAACUUCGUGCCAGCAGCCGCGGUAAUACGAAGGGUGCAAGCGUUAAUCGGAAUUACUGGGCGUAAAGCGCGCGUAGGUGGUUUUGUAAGUUGGAGGUGAAAUCCCCGGGCUCAACCUGGGAACUGCCUCCAAAAAUGCAUGAAUAGAGUACGGUAGAGGGUAGUGGAAUUUCCUGUGUAGCGGUGAAAUGCGUAGAUAUAGGAAGGAACACCAGUGGCGAAGGCGACUACCUGGACUGAUACUGACACUGAGGUGCGAAAGCGUGGGGAGCAAACAGGAUUAGAUACCCCUGUAGUCC
This 450-nucleotide ribosomal RNA is filed under the name uncultured bacterium. RNAcentral's name for it is "partial 16S ribosomal RNA". It matches the Rfam family "Bacterial small subunit ribosomal RNA", at positions 354 to 796 of the family's 1533-position model. The record is from RNAcentral.